GAUGAACGCUGGCGGCGUGCCUAAUACAUGCAAGUCGAGCGAACAGACGAGGAGCUUGCUCCUCUGACGUUAGCGGCGGACGGGUGAGUAACACGUGGAUAACCUACCUAUAAGACUGGGAUAACUUCGGGAAACCGGAGCUAAUACCGGAUAAUAUAUUGAACCGCAUGGUUCAAUAGUGAAAGACGGUUUUGCUGUCACUUAUAGAUGGAUCCGCGCCGCAUUAGCUAGUUGGUAAGGUAACGGCUUACCAAGGCAACGAUGCGUAGCCGACCUGAGAGGGUGGUAGGCCACACUGGAACUGAGACACGGUCCAGACUACUACGGGAGGCAGCAGUAGGGAAUCUUCCGCAAUGGGCGAAAGCCUGACGGAGCAACGCCGCGUGAGUGAUGAAGGUCUUCGGAUCGUAAAACUCUGUUAUUAGGGAAGAACAAAUGUGUAAGUAACUAUGCACGUCUUGACGGUACCUAAUCAGAAAGCCACGGCUAACUACGUG
This 497-nucleotide ribosomal RNA is filed under the name uncultured bacterium. RNAcentral describes it as "partial 16S ribosomal RNA". It matches the Rfam family "Bacterial small subunit ribosomal RNA", at positions 28 to 507 of the family's 1533-position model. The record is from RNAcentral.